This 371-nucleotide ribosomal RNA is filed under the name uncultured bacterium. RNAcentral describes it as "bacterial SSU rRNA". It matches the Rfam family "Bacterial small subunit ribosomal RNA", at positions 527 to 896 of the family's 1533-position model. The record is from RNAcentral.
GAAGGGUGCAAGCGUUACUCGGAAUUACUGGGCGUAAAGCGUGCGUAGGCGGUUUGUUAAGUCCGUUGUGAAAGCCCUGGGCUCAACCUGGGAAUUGCAGUGGAUACUGGCGAGCUAGAGUGCGGUAGAGGAUGGUGGAAUUCCCGGUGUAGCGGUGAAAUGCGUAGAGAUCGGGAGGAACACCCGUGGCGAAGGCGGCCAUCUGGACCAGCACUGACGCUGAGGCACGAAAGCGUGGGGAGCAAACAGGAUUAGAUACCCUGGUAGUCCACGCCCUAAACGAUGCGAACUGGACGUUGGGUGGACUUAGCCACUCAGUGUCGAAGCUAACGCGUUAAGUUCGCCGCCUGGGGAGUACGGUCGCAAGACUG